GAAGAGAAGCAGAAGUAAAGGACAUUGAGACAAGCCGAAGCACAACAAAUGUUGAAGUGAAAGAAGUCCUCACCAAUCUAGGACUCCAUCUCAGGAUGCCAAUCUUGGAGCCCACCAUGAAAAAUCAGUAGCUAUACCCCUUUUAAUGCCUCAAGGACAAAUUCUAAUGGAGAUAGAAAACCAAAUUCGACUGUCGAAGAGGAUAUAGGGCCUAGCCUAUUGAAGGGAUUCAAAGG
RNAcentral lists this long non-coding RNA (236 nucleotides) under Elaeis guineensis (African oil palm). Its description in RNAcentral is "long non-coding RNA (EGUI_LNC032386)". The record is from RNAcentral. Lineage: Eukaryota; Viridiplantae; Streptophyta; Magnoliopsida; Arecales; Arecaceae.